GGUUCUGUUAUGUUUCAGAUUGAUAAUAUUUUUCUUAUUUUGUAACAAAUGACACUAACUUUAUUUAUUUGGUUUUGUAACUGAUUUUUCUUUUGCAAUGUUUACUUUUUAACUGCACUUUACAUAGAAUUAGUAGACAAUUUAUAUGUAUAUAACAUAUAUCUAUUUUUAACUUUUCUAUUGUGAAGAGAAAAAAUGACAUUCUCAUGAGAAUGAAGUGAUGUGUGGAGUUUUACAAUUUUAGGAUCCAUGUCUCCCUCUCCUUCCCAGUGUAAUCUUGUCCUGUUCUUUCCAACACCCUUGCUCUCCAUAACCACACCUCGUGCCCUAAUCCCCCCCCCCAAAAAAAUGGUUUUGGUAUCACAUUUCUUUUUCCAAAUAUUGUUUGGUUCCUAGAAGCCUUGAAUAUAUGCAUUUUAUUCUUUUUUAAAUAGUGUAGUUCACUAGCUGCCAGUGUAUAUUAUCUCUUUGGUGCUAGUAC
RNAcentral lists this unclassified non-coding RNA (481 nucleotides) under Hevea brasiliensis (rubber tree). Lineage: Eukaryota; Viridiplantae; Streptophyta; Magnoliopsida; Malpighiales; Euphorbiaceae. The record is from RNAcentral.